Molecule: non-coding RNA, 30 nt
Filed under: Homo sapiens (human)
Lineage: Eukaryota; Metazoa; Chordata; Mammalia; Primates; Hominidae
Source: RNAcentral
UNGAAAGAGUAGAUGCUACUGAAGACCCAA